GGUUUCUUGAAUAAUAUUUAGGAGAUCUAACCUGCCCGCUGAAUAUUUUAUUUUGAAGGGCCGCAGUAUUUUGACUGUGCAAAGGUAGCAUAAUCAUUAGUCUUUUAAUUGAAGGCUGGUAUGAAUGGUUGGAUGAGGUGAAUACUGUUUUAUAUUAAGUUUAUAUUGAAUUUAGAUUUUAAGUAAAAAUUCUUAAAUGUUAUUAAGGGACGAGAAGACCCUAUAGAGUUUAAUAAAUGUAUUAAUUAAUCUGGUUAUUAUGGAAAAAUAUUUGAUUAUUAUGAAGUUUAUUUAAUUGGGGUGAUUAGAAGAUAAAUUGAACUCUUCUUUAAAUUUAAUAUUAUAAAUAAUUAUAUGAUCCAUUUUUAUGAUUGGAAGAUUAAAUUACCUUAGGGAUAACAGCAUAAUUCCUUUUAAGAGUUCUUAUUGAAAAAGGAGAUUAUGACCUCGAUGUUGGAUUAAGAUUAGUUUUGGGUGCAGAUGUUCAAUAACUAGGUCUGUUCGACCUUAAGAAUCUUACA
Molecule: ribosomal RNA, 521 nt
Filed under: Pseudomantis albofimbriata
Lineage: Eukaryota; Metazoa; Arthropoda; Insecta; Mantodea; Mantidae
Description: partial 16S ribosomal RNA
Rfam family: Bacterial large subunit ribosomal RNA
Source: RNAcentral